Molecule: unclassified non-coding RNA, 341 nt
Filed under: uncultured fungus
Lineage: Eukaryota; Fungi
Description: partial contains 5.8S ribosomal RNA and internal transcribed spacer 2
Rfam family: 5.8S ribosomal RNA (bases 1-133)
Source: RNAcentral
UGGUUCUGGCAUCGAUGAAGAACGCAGCGAAAUGCGAUAAGUAGUGUGAAUUGCAGAAUUUAGUGAAUCAUCGAAUCUUUGAACGCACAUUGCGCCCUUUGGUAUUCCUUAGGGCAUGCCUGUUCGAGCGUCAUUUACCGUAAUCAAGCCACGCUUGCUGUUGGGUGUUUGUCCCGCGGCGCGUUACUGUUACGCGUCGAAUUUACGGACUCGCCUCAAAAACAUUGGCGGCUCGUGUGUCGGCUCCCAGCGCAGCACAUUUGCGCUGUCUGCCAGGCACGCUGGCGUCCACAAGCCCGUCCAUCUUGGUUGACCUCGGAUCAGGUAGGGAUACCCGCUGA